Molecule: small nucleolar RNA, 204 nt
Filed under: Cebus imitator (Panamanian white-faced capuchin)
Lineage: Eukaryota; Metazoa; Chordata; Mammalia; Primates; Cebidae
Description: Small nucleolar RNA U3 (ENSCCAG00000004878.1)
Rfam family: Small nucleolar RNA U3
About the family: Small nucleolar RNAs (snoRNAs) are involved in the processing and modification of rRNA in the nucleolus.
Source: Rfam by way of RNAcentral
AAGAGUGUACUUUCAGGGAUUAUUUCUAUAGUUUGUUCCUAGAGAAGUUUCUCUGAAAUCCCAGAAACCACCAGGCGGAGGUGCGGCAUCCUCUCCUGAGGUGAAGCCGGCUCUUGGUGUUGCUUCACUGCAACUACCUUUUGCUAUGAUCAUUCUUCUCUUCCUCUGGGAGAGGGAGAGGGAGUCAGAACCAGAUUGAGUGCC